Molecule: ribosomal RNA, 253 nt
Filed under: uncultured bacterium
Lineage: Bacteria
Description: partial 16S ribosomal RNA
Rfam family: Bacterial small subunit ribosomal RNA
Source: RNAcentral
UACGGGGGGGGCAAGCGUUGUUCGGAAUUACUGGGCGUAAAGGGCUCGUAGGUGGCCAACUAAGUCGGACGUGAAAUCCCUCGGCUUAACCGGGGAACUGCGUCCGAUACUGGUUGGCUUGAGUUUGGGAGAGGGAUGCGGAAUUCCAGGUGUAGCGGUGAAAUGUGUAGAGAUCGGGAGGAACACCGGUGGCGAAGGCGGUUCUCUGGGCCUUACCUGACGCUGAGGAGCGAAAGCGUGGGGAGCGAACAGG